RNAcentral lists this ribosomal RNA (637 nucleotides) under uncultured bacterium. Its description in RNAcentral is "bacterial SSU rRNA". It matches the Rfam family "Bacterial small subunit ribosomal RNA", at positions 87 to 745 of the family's 1533-position model. The record is from RNAcentral.
CUUGAUUAGUGGCGCACGGGUGAGUAAUGCAUAGAUAAUGUGCCCCUUAGUUCGGGAUAGCCACUGGAAACGGUGAUUAAUACCGGAUACUCCUUCUUGUUAUAAGACAAGUCGGGAAAGUUUUUCGCUAAGGGAUCAGUCUAUGUUCCAUCAGCUUGUUGGUGAGGUAAUGGCUCACCAAGGCUAUGACGGAUAUCUGGUUUGAAAGGAUGAUCAGACACACUGGAACUGAGACACGGUCCAGACUCCUACGGGAGGCAGCAGUGAGGAAUAUUGCACAAUGGAGGAAACUCUGAUGCAGCAACGCCGCGUGGAGGAUGACGCAUUUCGGUGUGUAAACUCCUUUUAUUAGGGAAGAUAAUGACGGUACCUAAUGAAUAAGCACCGGCUAACUCCGUGCCAGCAGCCGCGGUAAUACGGAGGGUGCAAGCGUUACUCGGAAUCACUGGGCGUAAAGGGUGCGUAGGCUGGCUUUUAAGUCAGAUGUGAAAUCCAAUGGCUCAACCAUUGAACUGCAUUUGAAACUGAAAGCCUAGAGUUCAGAAGGGGCAGAUGGAAUUAGUGGUGUAGGGGUAAAAUCCGUAGAUAUCACUAGGAAUAUCAAAAGCGAAGGCGAUCUGCUGGGAUGAUACUGACG